Molecule: ribosomal RNA, 238 nt
Filed under: uncultured bacterium
Lineage: Bacteria
Description: partial 16S ribosomal RNA
Rfam family: Bacterial small subunit ribosomal RNA
Source: RNAcentral
CCGGCGCACGGGUGAGUAACGCGUAUGCAAUCUACCUGUAACAGAGGGAUAACCCGGAGAAAUCCGGACUAAUACCUCAUAGCACAUAUUAUUCGCAUGAAUUUUAUGUUAAAGAGACUCGGUUACAGAUGAACAUGCGUUCCAUUAGCUAGUUGGCGGGGUUACGGCCCACCAAGGCAACGAUGGAUAGGGGUUCUGAGAGGAAGGUCCCCCACACUGGUACUGAGACACGGACCAG